UAGGACAGCCAUACCACCCUGAAUGUUCCUGACCUUGUCUGAUCUCAGAAGCUAAGCAAGCUUGGGCUCAGUUAGUACUUGGAUGGGAGACCGCCUGGAAAUACUGAGUGCUGUAAGCU
Molecule: ribosomal RNA, 119 nt
Filed under: Erpetoichthys calabaricus (reedfish)
Lineage: Eukaryota; Metazoa; Chordata; Cladistia; Polypteriformes; Polypteridae
Source: RNAcentral